Molecule: non-coding RNA, 108 nt
Organism: Arabidopsis thaliana (thale cress)
Lineage: Eukaryota; Viridiplantae; Streptophyta; Magnoliopsida; Brassicales; Brassicaceae
Source: RefSeq
AGAGAGCAACAAAAUCAGUGUGUAUUUGUUAAGACAAAUGUUUAUAUAAGUCGUCCAUGCGUUGUACAUUUAAUCUUAACUAAUACGCAUUGAGUUUCGUUGCUUUCU